GCUCCCGUGGCCUAAUGGUUAGAGCGUCCGCCUCGGAUGCGGGAGGUCGCGGGUUCGAGUCAUACCAAGAGGUCA
Non-coding RNA from Potamilus streckersoni, 75 nucleotides. The record is from the annotation of a GenBank genome assembly. NCBI's taxonomy places the organism in Eukaryota, Metazoa, Mollusca, Bivalvia, Unionida, Unionidae.